RNAcentral lists this unclassified non-coding RNA (210 nucleotides) under uncultured fungus. RNAcentral's name for it is "sequence contains ITS2". Lineage: Eukaryota; Fungi. The record is from RNAcentral.
AACGCAUAUUGCACCUUUUGGUAUUCCGAAAGGUACACUUGUUCGAGCGUCAUUUAAAACUUCAAGUUUAACUUGGUGUUGAAAGCUAUCUAAGCUUUUGAAACUUCUAAGCACUUUCUUUGUCUAGAGAGCAACGAACUGCAAUUCAGACAAUCGGAAAUAUGAAUGACCCUUGACCUCGAAUCAAGUGGGAUUACCCGCUGAACUUAA